RNAcentral lists this long non-coding RNA (3063 nucleotides) under Homo sapiens (human). Its description in RNAcentral is "HSALNT0306439". The record is from RNAcentral. Lineage: Eukaryota; Metazoa; Chordata; Mammalia; Primates; Hominidae.
AGUGCCUGUGAAAGAGCUCAAGGUUGAAGGGAUCACCCUCUCGCACUUUUGCCAUAUGAGGACACAGCAUUCACCCCCCUUUCUUUGCCUUUCCAUCCCUUCUGCCAUGUGGGGACACAGCAAGAAGGCCCUUACCAGACACAAAACCUGCCAGUGCCUUGAUCUUGGACUUCCUAGCCUCCACAACUAUAAGAAAUGAAUUUCUGUUCCUUAUGAAUUACCCAGUCUGUGAUAUUGUGUUUUAGCAGCACAGAUGGACUAAGAUAGUGGGGAGCUUCCUCCUGGGCCUCCUGGAGAGCCCACACCCUCCCUGCCCUCUCCCACACUCCUGCUUCCCUGACUCUCCAAUAGAUGUCUCUGCAGGAAUCCCCUUCUCAGGCUCUGCUGCUAGGAAGAUCAACCUAAGAUACAUUGCCUUGUCCAUCGUAUGCACCUCUUGCCUGCCUGUAAAGCUUUCUCUGGCGAUGUAAGACUGGCAAGUGCAGACAACAUAGGAAGCACCCGGGGCCAAGUGGGUUCCUGCAGUCUGGCAGGUAUGGAGGGAGUGCCAUAGAGUGGGCAUAUAUGAAAGCCACUCUGCCAGGGCCCAGAGCUGAGGAAACCAGCGCAUGGCCUUCCCUGGGGCACUCAGGCAUACACCACCACUCCUUGGUGAGCUGGCUCUCCUGAUGCCAAUACUCACUCCUUAGCCUUCCUUCCUUACUUCUAAUGCCAGAAGAAAAAGUAGGGGGAGGCUUUGGGCUUUGGGUUCUAUAGGGGCUUACAACAACAGGGCUUCAUUUUCUCAAGUCCCACGGCCACUGGACCCUUGAAGUUUGGGCUUCUAGAGUGGCCCAGGGAGAAGGUGGAACUUUCUCCCACCUGCCCAAGGCUCACCUCCCUUUUCCAGGGCACUGACAGUAGACAUGUGUGCCCCCUUCAACCCCACCACUCCCAGGGGACACCCUGCAAGUUUCCUGCAAGGUCAUGGCCUUACCCUGUGACUGCCACAGGUCCACUCCUCCAGAUAUAUGUAGGAAAGCCCAGAAUUCAUCUCAGAGAUGAACACAUACAAUUUUUCCCGUCUUUGUUCCUGCACUAGAUGGUAAACUCCAGGAAGGCAAGAAUCAUGUCUUGCUUACCUUAGUAGCUCCCAUGGUAGCAAGAAUAUAAUUUAUUUUUCUGAAUUGGAAGAGUCCUUAGAGAAAUGUGGUAUAAUUUCCUAGGGCAAAGUCUUGUGCUCAAUCUCAUUAAAUGAGUGAAGGCACAUUUUCUUUUGAAUAGGAUCUUGCAAUAACUUGAGUCAAAGCAUAUUAAAGUGGCUUUUUAGAGUCAAUUUAUAUUUUUAUGUAUAUUUUAGGGCAGGGAAGCCUAUAGGUAUCCUCAAACUCUAUUAAAUGAGAAGACACCUUUUGAUGCUCUCUCUUGCCACUCUUACUCAGUAUAGUAUUGGGACAGGCAACAGAAAGAAAUAAAGCACAUCCAAAUAGGAAGAGAGGAAGGCAAAUCAUCCCUGUUUGCAGUCGACAUGAUCCUAUAUAUAGAAAACUCCACAGUCUUGGCCCAAAAGCUCCUUAAGCUGAUUAACAACUUCAGCAAAGUCUCAGAAUUAAAAAAAAAUCAGUGCACAAAAAUCACUACCAUUCCUAUACACCAACAAUAGUCAAGCCAAAACAAUUCCAUUCAUAACUGCCACAAAAAGAAUAAAAUACUAGGAAUACAGCUAAUCAGGGAGGUGAAAGAUUUCUACAAUGAGAACUACAAAACACUGCUCAAAGAAAUCAGACAGGACACAAACAAAAGGAAAAACAUUCCAUGUUCAAGGAGAGGAAGAAUCAAUAUUGUUAAAAUGCCCAUACUCCCCAAAGCAAUUUAUAGAUUUAAUGCUAUUAUUUUAAAAAUAACAUUGAGAUUCCUUAUAGUGCUAGAAAAAACUGUUUAAAAAAUUCAUAUGCAACCAAAAAAGAGCUUGAAUAGCCAAGGAAGUCCUAAGCAAAAGAGCAAAGCUAAAGACAUCAGGUUACCUGACUUCAAACUAUGCUACGGGGCUACAGUAACCAAAACAGCAGGGUACUUGUAUGAAAACUGACACACAGACUAAUAGAACAGAAUAAAGAGCCCAGAACUAAAGCCACACACCUACAACUAUCUGAUAUUUGGCAAAUCUGACAAAAACAAGCAAUGGGGAAAGCACUGUCUAUUCAAUAACUGGAGCUGGGAUAGCUGGCUAGCCAUAUGUGGAAGAUUGAAAUUGGACCCCUUCCUUACACCAUAUACAAAAAUUAACUCAAGAUGGAUUAAAGACUUAAAUGUAAAACCCAAACAUAUAAAAACCCUAGGAGACAACCUAGGCAAUACCAUUCUGGACACAGGAAUAGGCAAAGAUUUCAUAAUGAAGACACCAAAAGCAAUUGCAAGAAAAGCAAAAAUUGGGAUCUAAUUUUCUCCAAAAUUUUGUCUAAAAAUUAGACAAAUGGGAUUUAAUUAAACUAGAGAGCUUCUGCACAGCAAAAGAAACUAUCAAUAGAGUAGACAGAAAACCUACAGAAUGGGAGAAAAUUUUUGCAAACUAUGCGUCUGAUAAAGGUCUAAUAUCCAGCAUCUAUAGGGAACUUAAAUUUACAAGGAAAAAACAACUCUGUUGAAAAGUGGGCAAAGAACAUGAACCAACACUUCUCAAAAGAAGAUACAUGCAGCCAACAAGCAUAUGAAAAAGCUGAACAUCACCAAUCAUUAGAGAAAUGCAAGUCAAGACCAUAAUGUGAUACCAUCUCAUGCCAUGUCAGCAAAUGCAAAGCAGAGGUGUAAAUGGUACAAGCACAUUCCCACUUGACCUCCUGCACACUUGGGCUUGCUCACUCCUGCACCUCUACCUUGCCAUGAGAACACAUCUCAGCCAGCCUCAUUGAGUGAUGCGAGAGACAUGUGGAGAAGAGCCAAGAUCAUCUUAGAACAAGCUGACGGGCCAGCUGAUCCCCUAAAAUGUGAGUGAGCCCAGCCAAGGUCACCUGAGCUGGGGCUUCUUCAGCAGAACUGCCCAGCUGACCCAUGGAUUGGUGAGAAUAAAAAAUGGUUGUUUCAGGA